UACGGAGGAUGCGAGCGUUAUCCGGAUUUAUUGGGUUUAAAGGGUGCGUAGGCGGGCUGUUAAGUCAGCGGUCAAAUGUCGGGGCUCAACCCCGGCCUGCCGUUGAAACUGGUGGCCUCGAGUGGGCGAGAAGUAUGCGGAAUGCGUGGUGUAGCGGUGAAAUGCAUAGAUAUCACGCAGAACUCCGAUUGCGAGGGCAGCAUACCGGCGCCCGACUGACGCUGAGGCACGAAAGCGUGGGUAUCGAACAGG
This 252-nucleotide ribosomal RNA is filed under the name uncultured bacterium. Its description in RNAcentral is "partial 16S ribosomal RNA". It matches the Rfam family "Bacterial small subunit ribosomal RNA", at positions 524 to 776 of the family's 1533-position model. The record is from RNAcentral.